GACGAACGCUGGCGGCGUGCCUAAUACAUGCAAGUUGAGCGCUGAAGGUUGGUACUUGUACCAACUGGAUGAGCAGCGAACGGGUGAGUAACGCGUGGGGAAUCUGCCUUUGAGCGGGGGACAACAUUUGGAAACGAAUGCUAAUACCGCAUAAAAACUUUAAACACAAGUUUUAAGUUUGAAAGAUGCAAUUGCAUCACUCAAAGAUGAUCCCGCGUUGUAUUAGCUAGUUGGUGAGGUAAAGGCUCACCAAGGCGAUGAUACAUAGCCGACCUGAGAGGGUGAUCGGCCACAUUGGGACUGAGACCCGGCCCAAACUCCUACGGGUGGCAGCCGUAGGGCAUCUUCGGCAAUGGACGAAAGUCUGACCGAGCAACGCCGCGUGAGUGAAGAAGGUUGUCGGAUCGUAAAACUCUGUUGGUAGAGAAGAACGUUGGUGAGAGUGGAAAGCUCAUCAAGUGACGGUAACUACCCAGAAAGGGACGGCUAACUACGUG
RNAcentral lists this ribosomal RNA (497 nucleotides) under uncultured bacterium. Its description in RNAcentral is "partial 16S ribosomal RNA". It matches the Rfam family "Bacterial small subunit ribosomal RNA", at positions 28 to 507 of the family's 1533-position model. The record is from RNAcentral.